AUGAACUUUGGUUGAGUUGGCUUUGUUGCCCUCGAUCGUCAACACCUUGUGAAUUGUAAAAUUGUAUUUGGCAAGUGAUGCAGCAGCUCGCUGCAGAAUUUUCCCCCUCUCCCUCUUUUCCCUAGGGAAGGGAAGGGAAGCGGGAAAAGCUUGUCCCCAUUAUACCUUGAACUAUGUAAUGCAUUUAAUCCUGAACAAUAAAUUUACAGAAAUACUAAAA
Molecule: unclassified non-coding RNA, 220 nt
Filed under: uncultured Chytridiomycota
Lineage: Eukaryota; Fungi; Chytridiomycota
Description: sequence contains ITS1
Source: RNAcentral